CAGAGGGGGCAAGCGUUAUUCGGAAUCAUUGGGCGUAAAGGGCGCGUAGGCGGCUUUUCAAGUGACGGGUGAAAGCCCUCGGCUUAACCGAGGAACUGCCUGUCAGACUGGAAGGCUCGAGACCGGGAGAGGUGAGUGGAAUUCCCAGUGUAGCGGUGAAAUGCGUAGAUAUUGGGAGGAACACCAGUGGCGAAGGCGGCUCACUAGACCGGAACUGACGCUGAGGCGCGAAAGCGUGGGGAGCAAACAGGAUUAGAUACCCUGGUAGUCCACGCCGUAAACGAUGAGUGCUUGGUGUAGCGGGUAUCGACCCCUGCUGUGCCGAAGUCAACACAUUAAGCACUCCGCCUGGGGAGUACGGUCGCAAGACUG
RNAcentral lists this ribosomal RNA (372 nucleotides) under uncultured organism. RNAcentral's name for it is "bacterial SSU rRNA". It matches the Rfam family "Bacterial small subunit ribosomal RNA", at positions 526 to 896 of the family's 1533-position model. The record is from RNAcentral.